UGGUGCCAAUAUUACAGUGAUACUGGCAAUACAAAUGCUGGUAUUUUUCUCAGUAUAAACAAGAGAUUACUAUGCAAUACCAGCACUGGCCAGUAGGGGUCACUGUGUGUGUGGAGAGAGGCAGGGAUAGGAAGUUCCAGCAUAUCCCUCCCUGCCUAUCUAUACUCACUGAUCUGCAGGGGUGCAGCUGCAGAGAGUCCAGACAGCAACUCCCACCCUGCAGAGACAGCCUACAGCUCAGGGAAGUAAGGGAUGGGGGGAAAGGCUGCAAGGAGACAUACACUGAGACACUAAGGGACAUUGG
This is a non-coding RNA of Pelobates cultripes (western spadefoot toad), 304 nucleotides long. The record is from the annotation of a GenBank genome assembly. Lineage: Eukaryota; Metazoa; Chordata; Amphibia; Anura; Pelobatidae.